RNAcentral lists this ribosomal RNA (300 nucleotides) under uncultured Lactobacillus sp. Its description in RNAcentral is "bacterial SSU rRNA". It matches the Rfam family "Bacterial small subunit ribosomal RNA", at positions 496 to 795 of the family's 1533-position model. Lineage: Bacteria; Bacillati; Bacillota; Bacilli; Lactobacillales; Lactobacillaceae. The record is from RNAcentral.
GGAUACGCGGUGCGAGGCUGCGCGGGUGUACGGAGGGGGGAAUGGUUAUCCGGAAUUAUUGGGCGUAAAGCGGGCUGAGGGGGUUUUUUAAGGCUGAUGUGAAAGCCCACGGCUCAACCGUGGAGGGUCAUUGGAAACUGGAAAACUUGAGUGCAGAAGAGGAAAGUGGAAUUCCAUGUGUAGCGGUGAAAUGCGCAGAGAUAUGGAGGAACACCAGUGGCGAAGGCGACUUUCUGGUCUGCAACUGACGCUGAUGUGCGAAAGCGUGGGGAUCAAACAGGAUUAGAUACCCGAGUAGUC